AGAGUUUGAUCAUGGCUCAGGAUGAACGCUAGCGGCAGGCUUAAUACAUGCAAGUCGAGGGGCAGCAUGGUGUAGCAAUACACUGAUGGCGACCGGCAAACGGGUGCGGAACACGUACGCAACCUUCCUUUGAGUGGGGAAUAGCCCAGAGAAAUUUGGAUUAAUACCCCGUAAGAUCGUGGUGAGGCAUCUCACAGCGAUAAAAGCUGAGGCACUUAAAGAUGGGCGUGCGCCUGAUUAGGUAGUUGGUGAGGUAACGGCUCACCAAGCCGACGAUCAGUAACUGGCGUGAGAGCGCGACCAGUCACACGGGCACUGAGACACGGGCCCGACUCCUACGGGAGGCAGCAGUAAGGAAUAUUGGUCAAUGGACGCAAGUCUGAACCAGCCAUGCCGCGUGGAGGAUGAAGGUCCUCUGGAUUGUAAACUUCUUUUAUCUGGGAAGAAAUGUGCGCUUUCUAGCGUAUUUGACGGUACCAGAUGAAUAAGCACCGGCUAACUACGUGCCAGCCGCCGCGGUAAUUC
This 525-nucleotide ribosomal RNA is filed under the name uncultured bacterium. Its description in RNAcentral is "bacterial SSU rRNA". It matches the Rfam family "Bacterial small subunit ribosomal RNA", at positions 8 to 526 of the family's 1533-position model. The record is from RNAcentral.